GUUGCUGUUUUAUCACGGCUCGUCUUAAAUGCCUGAGUGUACCCUGUUUUGCAGCGUAUCCAGUGUAAUAAACAUUUCACUAGAGUUGGUUGAAAGACCACGUUGACUAUAUGGGCUCUAUGCUUCAAACCGUCUGCCAUGUGGACAAUUUCUUGACAAUUUGACCUCAAAUCGGGUGGGACUACCCGCUGAACUUAAGCAUAUCAAUAAGCGGAGGAAAAGAAACUAACAAGGAUUCCCCUAGUAACGGCGAGUGAAGAGGGAAAAGCUCAAAUUUUAAAUCUGGUGUCUUUGACUCCCGAGUUGUAAUCUAGAGAAGUGUUUUCCGUGUCGGACCGUGUACAAGUUCCCUGGAACGGGGCGUCAUAGAGGGUGAGAAUCCCGUAUAUGCCACGGACUACCGAUGCUCUGUGAUACACUCUCAACGAGUCGAGUUGUUUGGGAAUGCAGCUCAAAAUGGGUGGUAAAUUCCAUCUAAAGCUAAAUAUUGGCGAGAGACCGAUAGCGAACAAGUACCGUGAGGGAAAGAUGAAAAGCACUUUGGAAAGAGAGUGAAACAGUACGUGAAAUUGUUGAAAGGGAAGCGUUUGAAGUCAGUCGCAUCUGUUGGGGUUCAGCCUGGCUUUUGCCUGGUGUAUUUCCUUUCCGAUGGGUCAGCAUCAGUUUCGACCGAGGGAAAAAGACAUUUGGAAUGUGGCUGUCUUCGGGCAGUGUUAUAGCCUUGUGUUGUAUGUCUCGGUUGGGACUGAAGAUUGCAGCGCGCCAUAAAUGGGCGGGGGUCGCUCCCUCUCGACACGCGCUUAGGA
Molecule: ribosomal RNA, 806 nt
Filed under: uncultured Sebacinales
Lineage: Eukaryota; Fungi; Basidiomycota; Agaricomycetes; Sebacinales
Description: eukaryotic LSU rRNA
Rfam family: Eukaryotic large subunit ribosomal RNA (bases 162-806)
Source: RNAcentral